AUUGAACGCUUGCGGCAGGCCUAACACAUGCAAGUCGAACGAGUGGCGGACGGGUGAGUACUGUCUGGGAAACUGCCUGAUGGAGGGGGAUAACUACUGGACACGGUAGCUAAUACCGCAUACCAUCGGAUGUGCCCAGAUGGGAUUAGCUAGUAGGUGGGGUAACGGCUCACCUAGGCGACGAUCCCUAGCUGGUCUUAGAGGAUGACCAGCCACACGGGAACUGAGACACGGUCCAGACUCCUACGUGAGGCAGCAGUGGGGAAUAUUGCACAAUGGGCGCAAGCCUGAUGCAGCCAUGCCGCGUGUAUGAAGAAGGCCUUCGGGUUGUAAAGUACUUUCAGCGGGGAGGCGUUACUCGCAGAAGAAGCACCGGCUAACUCCGUGCCAGCCGCCGCGGUAAUGC
RNAcentral lists this ribosomal RNA (406 nucleotides) under uncultured bacterium. Its description in RNAcentral is "partial 16S ribosomal RNA". It matches the Rfam family "Bacterial small subunit ribosomal RNA", at positions 30 to 526 of the family's 1533-position model. The record is from RNAcentral.